RNAcentral lists this long non-coding RNA (1674 nucleotides) under Daucus carota (carrot). Its description in RNAcentral is "long non-coding RNA (DCAR_LNC003397)". The record is from RNAcentral. Lineage: Eukaryota; Viridiplantae; Streptophyta; Magnoliopsida; Apiales; Apiaceae.
CACAAUGAAUCCAAGGCGUGGAGAGGUAUAUACAAAGAUAAAGCUCCUACAUAUUCAGAACUUCGAUUUAUUUCACUGAAUAUUACUCAUAUUUUAGUGCAACAGCCUCAAGGAUGCCAUCAGAUCUGAAGUUUGGAAAGAACAUCCUUGGAUCGACGGGUCCUGGUAGGCUGAAGGACAAUGUAAAUGGACCAGGUGGGCACUGUUGCUGUACUUUCAUCUCAAAAACUCGAGUAUGCCUUGAAACAAAAUUUUCACCAGUUGUUGUCACACCUCGAACAUGGACCUUUCCAUCACGUUCUAUCUCACAGCUGAACUGACCUGCAACAACAAGUUGUAUCAAUUCGUGGAAUUAUAAAAAUAACAAGAUGCUAAUUCUUGUUGGAACUUGGAAGUCGAAACAAAUGAUGUCUGUGCCGAGAAUUGGGAUAAAGUAGCCUGUAAGAGCUAUACUGUCUAAACAGAUGUUAUAGAUGUGGCAAGUACAUAGAAUAAGGGAACAAAAAAGUAGUGCAGUAAGUGAAUUCUAAUGCAGUAAACAAACACAAGAGUAAAACUAUAAUAUUUCAGGCAUUCCUUUGGGCGACGAUAAAGGUUCUAUCCUGAAUUUGAUACCACUUUUGCUACCUAAAGAAAAUUUUUAGGUGGCAUAGGUCACAUACUGUUACCCCUUAUAACAAGAUGCAAGCAUUGACACCUACUUUUUUUCCUUGAAAUCGCAAGUCUAAAAUUGGACAUACGGUGGAAGCCAACCAAUCCAUUUGAAGAUCCUUACUAGUUUGUCUAUAGACUAAGUUCUGUUCAAUCUCGGAAAAGUAAACAGCAUUCUGGAUUAAACGGAUUAUGAUGCAUCGAGAUAUUCAGCGCAAAAACACUAUCUUCCCUCACGGGACUAGUUAUAUUAGAGUUUAGUAACUUUGUAUAAGCAUUUUUUGAAUUCAAUGAUUGCAUAUAAUCAGACCAAAAUUUAUCUGUAUAUAUCGAUAAACUUAAUCCAACUGCCUAUAUACAUUCUACUUGUUAGAACUAGAAAGCAUAAUUCAAUCCUUAUGUCACCUAUAUGUAUAAUUCUCCUGUCUAUUAUAUUUAAACAGGUUGAUCGAUAUAUAAGAAGGCAAAUAUUACAAAUUUUACAGAAUUUGACAUCUCAUUAUUUAUUAAAUAUGAUUAUAGUAUAAAAACCAGUUCCAAUAUUGGGACAUCAAUUCCACGAUGGUACGUUUUUAAACUUUGAGGCGGCAUCGGAACUUCCACCCAAACUUUAAGGGCUAAAAGGUCAUUAAGCCAGUAAAAUCUCACCCUGAUCCUGGUACAAAUUACAACAUUCUAGUAUGCAAACAUUAAGACAUAACAAACCACAAUGAAUCCAAGGCGUGGAGAGGUAUAUACAAAGAUAAAGCUCCUACAUAUUCAGAACUUCGAUUUAUUUCACUGAAUAUUACUCAUAUUUUAGUGCAACAGCCUCAAGGAUGCCAUCAGAUCUGAAGUUUGGAAAGAACAUCCUUGGAUCGACGGGUCCUGGUAGGCUGAAGGACAAUGUAAAUGGACCAGGUGGGCACUGUUGCUGUACUUUCAUCUCAAAAACUCGAGUAUGCCUUGAAACAAAAUUUUCACCAGUUGUUGUCACACCUCGAACAUGGACCUUUCCAUCACGUUCUAUCUCACAGCUGAACU